AGGAUAAACGCUGGCGGCGUGCCUAACACAUGCAAGUCGAACGCACUCAGCAAUGAGUGAGUGGCGGACGGGUGAGUAACACGUGGGUGCAUCUACCUUUCGGUGAGGAAUACCGGCGAGAAAUCGCCGACAAUACCGCAUACGUUUCGGCAAUGAAACAAAGUCGCAAGACGCCGGGGGAGGAGCCUGCGCCCGAUUAGCUAGUUGGUGGAGUAAAAGUUCACCAAGGCGACGAUCGGUAGCUGGUCUGAGAGGAUGAUCAGCCACACUGGGAUUGAGAACGGCCCAGACUCCUACGGGGGGCAGCAGUGAGGAAUUUUCGUCAAGUGGGGGCAACCCGUGAACGAGCAACGCCGCGUGCAGGAUGACACUUUUCGGAGCGUAAACUGCUUUUCUCGGGGACGAGUAAGGACGGUACCCGAGGAAUCGAGCCCCGGCUAACCUACGCGCCAGCAGCCGC
Molecule: ribosomal RNA, 460 nt
Filed under: uncultured bacterium
Lineage: Bacteria
Description: SSU rRNA
Rfam family: Bacterial small subunit ribosomal RNA
Source: RNAcentral